RNAcentral lists this ribosomal RNA (460 nucleotides) under uncultured bacterium. Its description in RNAcentral is "partial 16S ribosomal RNA". It matches the Rfam family "Bacterial small subunit ribosomal RNA", at positions 338 to 795 of the family's 1533-position model. The record is from RNAcentral.
CCUACGGGAGGCAGCAGUGAGGAAUAUUGGUCAAUGGACGAGAGUCUGAACCAGCCAAGUAGCGUGAAUGAUGACUGCCCUAUGGGUUGUAAACUUCUUUUGUAAAGGAGUAAAACGAGACACUUGUUCCUUUUUGCAUGUACUUUAACAAUAAGCCUCGGCUAACUCCGUGCCAGCAGCCGCGGUAAUACGGAGGAUCCGAGCGUUAUCCGGAUUUAUUGGGUUUAAAGGGAGCGUAGAUGGGUUGUUAAGUCAGUUGUGAAAGUUUGCGGAUCAACCGUAAAAUUGCAAUUGAUACUGGCAGUCUUGAGUACAGGUGAGGUAGGUGGAAUUCGUGGUGUAGCGGUGAAAUGCUUAGAUAUCACGAAGAACCCCGAUUGCGAAGGCAGCUUACUAAACUGUGACUGACAUUGAUGCUCGAAAGUGUGGGGAUCAAACAGGAUUAGAUACCCGUGUAGUC